Papaver somniferum (opium poppy) is the source of this 2673-nucleotide long non-coding RNA. RefSeq lists it as uncharacterized. Lineage: Eukaryota; Viridiplantae; Streptophyta; Magnoliopsida; Ranunculales; Papaveraceae. The record is from RefSeq and is a predicted model, not a curated record. The transcript has 4 exons.
UUUUCUCUUUCUCCUGCGCCUCUCACACUCGCUGCAAGAACGUGAAACCCUAAUUCAUGUCAUUCUGUCAUAUUUCUAUCUUACAUCUUCUUCUAUUUCUGUUUUAUCCAUGUUGUGCAUCUGCUGAGAGAGUUUAUCUAUGAUCUGAUUGUUACCUAAAUCUGCUUUCAAAGUUUAAAUCCAUGAGUAUUGUUAGUCUCGAAAUCAAGACCGAUAACAAAACCCAUUUCUCUAAUUUUUCUUAGUCUUUAUUUUCAGAUUUUUCAUCACUGAUUUUUUUUAUCUUUUAUUGAUUUUGUUUGACUCUUAUUUUGUGAAUGGAAGGUUAUAGAUUUCAUGAGUUAAGAUUAGGGUUUAUUGCCAGUUCUGUCAAAUUUAGGGUUAACAGUUUUCCUUUCAAAUGGUUGGGAAUUGGGGGUUUGUAUGAUAUUUAGAGUUUACUGUAAAAGCAUGGGAUUUCGAUUGAAGUCUUUUGGUAAGUUUAGAGUUUACUGUAAAAGCAUGGGAUUUCGAUUUUGAUUCAGAUUUCGCUUUUGUAGCAUAAGGUUUAUUAAUGGAAGUAGUUUAUCAGCUUUCUGACUUUUAUCUCUCUAUUCACACAGGCGAAAAUUAGCCUAGGUCCAACUAUCCUUUGUUCUUUCACCACAAAGUAAUACUAAUCUCAGAUCUGUAUAUUGGGAUUUCGAUUUUGUUGUAUUAUGAGUUGAUGCUUUCGAAUUAGGGUUUAUUCUUCAUUUCUUGCUAAUUUGUUGUGUCAAAUUUAGGGUUUUCAAUUUUUCUUUCAUAGUUUUUAAUAGUUUGGAAUUAGGGGUUUGUUUUUCUUAUUCAAAUUAGGGUCUGAGAAUUAGUAUGUUGAUUUUGGGCUCUGCAACUGUGAUGGUGAUUCCUGAGUUGCAAUUUUUUGUUUUUGUCUUAAUUUUGAUGAAGUUUUCACAGUCAAAUUUUGGGUUUAAAUCUUAUUUAUUUAUGACAGUGAUAGUUAAGGUUUACUGUGAUAGCAUGGGGUUUUGAUUUAGGUUCAGAUUUUCAACUUUGGUAGCAUAGGGUUUACUAUAAUUCUUGUGUUGUUCUUAUAAAUGGAAGUCAUGUUCUUGUUCGCUUUUGCCUUUGUUUCUCUAUUUUGCACCAGCAAUUUCCCCCCCUACUUAUUGGUGCUUUUGUUCAAUACUUGCUUGGUCAAAGCAUAUGGUCUUACUCCCUCUGUAACUUAUGUUUCUAUGAUAGAAAAAGCUUUGCAUAAAUUUACAGGUAUACUCAGUUGAGAGUUCAACCAUGAUAGUGUUCCUGACUUAAAACUUUGGUUUCAAGUCUUAUUUUUUUUGUUCUGAAUUUUUAUUGCCAUUAUGAUAAAAGGGCAAUAGAAAUUGAUAUUGAAGAAACAUAUUUGCUCUUGUUAAUAUUUAACUUGUGGUUUGUGUGACCUCUGCGGUGCUGUUAUACUUUGCGGCAUGUUAUUUGUUAAAUAGUGAUGUUAGAAAUCUGGAAAGUAGUGUGUUUCCACAGUUACAGCUUGUGAAUUUAUGUGUGGAGUGGUGUCAUGAUUUUUUUUGAUGCUAUUAUAGAACAUCAUGAGAGUACCCCAAGUAGGGUGGAUGAGAGUUGUCAUAAACUAAACAUUUAGGCCUUGAUGUUUCAUUGCUUCUAAUCUUCACUUACUUAUUUGUACUAAUAUUCUUAACUAAGUAACCAGCUUCCUCUUAUGCACUAUUUUCUCUUAUUAGCUCUACUUAUUCUUUUGUUGUCUCUUUUAAUAGGUGAAGCGACUUUUGAGUGAGGUGAUGGAUGUCAAUAUUCUUUCCUGGGGUUAAGAUCACAAGGUAUGACUCUGCUACACCUUGCUGCAAAGGGAGGGUAUCAUAAGGUCAUUGAUGAAUUGCUUGAGAAUGGAGCAAAUAUUGAUGCUAGAACAAAGGGUGCAUGUGGCUAUUCACCACCUUGGUGGCGGCAUUAGAUGCUACAAAUUCAAAACCUCGGUGGCGGCAUUAGUGUAUGGCUUUCCACAAUUUAAGCUGGUGUUUGGUCACGGCUUGUGAAACAUUUAAUAUGCAGGCAAGUACUCUGCUUUCUCCUACCAUUUGACUUAGUACCAUAACAUGGUGAUGAAGGUCAACUAAUUGCUGCAUUUGCUACAAAAAUGCAAAGCCUUCCACAUUUCAGGUGAUUCUCAUUUCGUUUUUUUCAAUUUAAGUGCGGCAUUUGCUAAUGGAAUUUGUGUAUGAUGUACUUGGAAGUAAUUAUUUAUUGGAGCCGAAAAGGUAUGAAGAGAUCAGAAAACUCAUUCUAACUUGAAAAAAAUUAGGGUGUGGUGGUCUGGUUCAGAUUUUUUUAACUUCUCACUCUCUUUUGGUGCAGCCAAACACAAAACUAGGUUCCUCUGUUCUUGCUCUUGAUUUUGGUUGUGCUCUUUAGAUUGGGUUUACAUAAGAAGGAAAAAGGCUUGAUGGUAAGGCACAUGCUGAACAGAUUACGCGUCAUCAAGGAGAUGCAUUACUUUGAGGAGCUUUGUCGCAGCUCAGAGUGUUAGGUUUGAAUUUUUUUGGGUUUAAUUUCAUAAUGAAUAGAAUGAUUCUGUUGUAUGUGUUCGUAAUGAAUGUAUGAACCUUCUUUGUAGAAUGCAUGAAUUUAUGAAUCUUCUUUUGAGAAUGCAUGAACUGCAGAUUGAAAAAUAAGAAA